GCUGGGCAUGGCGGUGUGUGCCUGUAAUCCCAGCUACUCGGGAGGCUGAGGCAGGAGAAUCACUUGAACCCAGAAGGCGGAGGUUGCAGUGAGCUGAAAUUGCACCACUGCACUCCAGCCUGGGUGACAGAGUGAGACUCUGCCUUUA
Molecule: non-coding RNA, 148 nt
Filed under: Nomascus leucogenys (northern white-cheeked gibbon)
Lineage: Eukaryota; Metazoa; Chordata; Mammalia; Primates; Hylobatidae
Source: Rfam by way of RNAcentral